RNAcentral lists this ribosomal RNA (489 nucleotides) under Streptococcus infantis. RNAcentral describes it as "bacterial SSU rRNA". It matches the Rfam family "Bacterial small subunit ribosomal RNA", at positions 28 to 500 of the family's 1533-position model. The record is from RNAcentral. Lineage: Bacteria; Bacillati; Bacillota; Bacilli; Lactobacillales; Streptococcaceae.
GACGAACGCUGGCGGCGUGCCUAAUACAUGCAAGUAGAACGCUGAAGGAAGGAGCUUGCUCUUUCCGGAUGAGUUGCGAACGGGUGAGUAACGCGUAGGUAACCUGCCUGGUAGCGGGGGAUAACUAUUGGAAACGAUAGCUAAUACCGCAUAACAGUAGAUAUCGCAUGAUAGCUGCUUGAAAGGUGCAAUUGCACCACUACCAGAUGGACCUGCGUUGUAUUAGCUAGUUGGUGAGGUAACGGCUCACCAAGGCAACGAUACAUAGCCGACCUGAGAGGGUGAUCGGCCACACUGGGACUGAGACACGGCCCAGACUCCUACGGGAGGCAGCAGUAGGGAAUCUUCGGCAAUGGACGGAAGUCUGACCGAGCAACGCCGCGUGAGUGAAGAAGGUUUUCGGAUCGUAAAGCUCUGUUGUAAGAGAAGAACGAGUGUGAGAGUGGAAAGUUCACACUGUGACGGUAUCUUACCAGAAAGGACGGCUAA